AAGUCGUAACAAGGUAACCGUAGGUGAACCUGCGGUUGGAUCAUUAAUGAAUCAACUAUUGGUUAUGAGUUUAAUGGCUGUAAGGCCGUUAAGCGAUUAACCUAAACCCCAAACCUGCGCCUGUCUUACCAUUAAUACUGGUAAGGCAGAUGAAAAAUCCGAGUAUCCUGGGCAACCAGAUCAUACUUGAUACAAACAUUUAUUCAAUUCUUUUUCAAUAACUAAAAAUUAAUGAAAAAACAACUUUUGACAACGGAUCUCUUGGCUCUC
Molecule: unclassified non-coding RNA, 270 nt
Filed under: fungal sp.
Lineage: Eukaryota; Fungi
Description: partial internal transcribed spacer region
Rfam family: Eukaryotic small subunit ribosomal RNA (bases 1-46)
Source: RNAcentral